This 442-nucleotide ribosomal RNA is filed under the name uncultured bacterium. Its description in RNAcentral is "partial 16S ribosomal RNA". It matches the Rfam family "Bacterial small subunit ribosomal RNA", at positions 338 to 795 of the family's 1533-position model. The record is from RNAcentral.
CCUACGGGGGACAGCAGUGGGGAAUAUUGGGCAAUGGGCGCAAGCCUGACGCAGCAACGCCGCGUGAAGGAAGACGGCUUUCGGAUUGUAAACUUCUAUUGACAGGGAAGAGCAGAAGACGGUACCUGUCGAAUAAGCCACGGCCAACUACGUGCCAGCCACCGCGGUAAUACGUAGGUGGCAAGCGUUGUUCGGAUUUACUGGGUGUAAAGGGCGUGUAGUCGGGCUGACAAGUCAGAUGUGAAAUCCGUGGGCUCAACCUCCGAACUGCAUUUGAAACUGUUGGUCUUGAGUAUCGGAGAGGAAAGCGGAAUUCCUAGUGUAGCGGUGAAAUGCGUAGAUAUUAGGAGGAACACCAGUGGCGAAGGCGGCCUGCUGGACGACAACUGACGGUGAGGCGCGAAAGCGUGGGGAGCAAACAGGAUUAGAUACCCGUGUAGUC